AUGGACUUUCUGGUGUGACUUUUUCAGCUCUGCGUGGUGGUGCCUCAAGUGCUCUUCAAGCGCUGCCCGCUUACUGUAAUGCCGGUGGGCACCAGCAUUUUCUGAAUCACUCUGUGUACCAUCAUCAUGCUUAUUCCCUUUCAGUCUCUUCAAGUAGACUGGAACGUCACUCUUAAUACUUUUGGAAUCCUCCUCUGUUGGCUCCCAUAUCAUUCUAGGAGGAUUGUUCUGUGCUAGCCAAUCCGCUACUUUGCUCUCUGCGGCCAUCAUCACAGUCUGAAGCCCAGGCAGGUCCUGACCACCGGAGGAAGAAGGCUUCUUUGACUUGUGGCGCUGCUCAGAUGUGAAUUUUGUCACGUGAUCUUUGAUUGUUACUUUCCCUGGUGUGUUGUCAUCAAACUCAAUGGUAAAGGAAGCAUGUCCUGCGCUUGCUGCAUGGGGACUUUGGGUGUCUUUUGUUGGAAUUUCAUGAAUAGCGCCCUCUGCUACCUGUGAAGUUUGCUGGAAUUCUUUUGUAGGAAUUUCAAAAUAACUUGGCUCCCUACAGAAAGGAUAAAGUUCUUCACUUGCAGCUGCAGAUUGCUCCUCAGCUUGCUUGGCAUCUGUGCUGCAUCCUGAAGCCGCCGUCUCAUGCAUCUUUUCUUCACGUUUGCUAUCUGGUUUACAGCCACCUUUUUCAUCAGCUUCAUCCUCACCCCACCAGGCUGGCUGUCCAUACAAAGGAGUACCACGAGGCAUGGUAGAAAGAUCUAUGGAUUUCUCUUCAGAUUUCAGUGCUUCAGUAGUCUUGUGGUGCACUUCAGCUGUGGAGUCUGUUUCUUUGGACUCUGAACUUUUGGAGCUGGUUUGCUUUGACCCUUCUGCCUCUGAAGAUUUCUGGGAUAACUGGAGUUGGCUUGUAAAUUUUUCAUGCUACAUGACAUUAAGUAAAUAAAUAAAUUUCAAAGAAUGAAAAAAAAUCUUUUACCAAUAACCACGUAAUGACAGAGCACCACCUAGGCAAGGUCCAUUGUUACCUUAAGAGCUUCUUCAGGGACUCUCAUCUCUCCUCUGACAACAGUAAAAAGAUUAGUAUCAUAUCCAAAUCUCAGUUUAUCUUCUAAUUUUAGAGUGAUGUACGUCUGCUCUGGAAUCCUCACAUCAUUCACGAAUGUCCCAUUCAAGCUACCUAAAUCCUUCACUAAGUGUUCAUCUGUGGAAGGUUCAUAGUUAAGUACAGCAUGUUGCUUGUCCACGCUUCGUGACUGUAACAUCAGCUCACAGUCAUCUCUUCCAACAAAAAUCAUUUCUCGUGGCAGCCGAUGGCGGGUGCCUCCACUGCUCA
This 1324-nucleotide long non-coding RNA is filed under the name Gallus gallus (chicken). The record is from RNAcentral. Lineage: Eukaryota; Metazoa; Chordata; Aves; Galliformes; Phasianidae.